ACGGAAGGCAGCAGUGAGGAAUAUUGGUCAAUGGGCGCAGGCCUGAACCAGCCAAGUCGCGUGAGGGAUGACGGUCCUACGGAUUGUAAACCUCUUUUGCCGGGGAGUAAUGUGCGGGACGAGUCCCGUAUUGAGAGUACCCGGAGAAAAAGCAUCGGCUAACUCCGUGCCAGCAGCCGCGGUAAUACGGAGGAUGCGAGCGUUAUCCGGAUUUAUUGGGUUUAAAGGGAGCGCAGGCGGCGCGUCAAGUCAGCGGUAAAAUGUCGGGGCUCAACCCCGGCCGGCCGUUGAAACUGCCGUGCUCGAGUUCGUGCGAGGAGAGCGGAAUGCGUGGUGUAGCGGUGAAAUGCAUAGAUAUCACGCAGAACGCCGAUUGCGAAGGCAGCCCUCCAGCACUGGACUGACGCUGGGGCUCGAAAGCGGGUAUCGAACAGGAUUAGAUACCCUGGUA
RNAcentral lists this ribosomal RNA (451 nucleotides) under uncultured Barnesiella sp. RNAcentral describes it as "bacterial SSU rRNA". It matches the Rfam family "Bacterial small subunit ribosomal RNA", at positions 341 to 792 of the family's 1533-position model. Lineage: Bacteria; Pseudomonadati; Bacteroidota; Bacteroidia; Bacteroidales; Barnesiellaceae. The record is from RNAcentral.